UGAUGUGCAAAGUUGCCACCGAAGAGGCGCAUGAACUGAGCCAGGUCUGAGUCAUGGAAAUACUGCUCCAGGAACUAUGGAGGGAGUCAGAGCAGAGAUCGUGGGUCCGAGGGUCCUCCCACAUAGUGAUGAAACUCAGCCCCAGGGAGCAGCAGCUCUGCUUGUCUGGAGGUCAGAGAACAGAGGUCAGAAAGCUCAAAACGGAACAGAAGAAGCUACCUCUGAGCAUCCCUGGGCAGUCAGUCACUGUCUCCCCAUGCAUUAGCUCCCACCCACAAGCCCCAGCAAGCUCUCAACUCCCUCCCAUCCAUCUCAC
This 316-nucleotide long non-coding RNA is filed under the name Homo sapiens (human). RNAcentral's name for it is "HSALNT0171558". Lineage: Eukaryota; Metazoa; Chordata; Mammalia; Primates; Hominidae. The record is from RNAcentral.